RNAcentral lists this long non-coding RNA (256 nucleotides) under Nicotiana benthamiana. Its description in RNAcentral is "long non-coding RNA (NBEN_LNC040863)". The record is from RNAcentral. Lineage: Eukaryota; Viridiplantae; Streptophyta; Magnoliopsida; Solanales; Solanaceae.
GCAUGCAGAUCUGGACUCUAUCCUCAGGCUCCAUCGGAUCAGUUGCUGGCUUGACUGGAGGCUUUGUACCCCUCACAUUUGCUAUUGGUAUCACUGAAACUCCAGAUGGUUGUGGAUCUAUUGCUACUUUAGGCAAUGGAACAGUAAUCUCAGCAGGAUUCAAUGGAACAGUUGUACCUACCAUUGGUACAGUAGUAACAGCUUUUGGUACUACAUCACUCGCAUAAAUUGGUACUAUUUCUUUCCUUGGGCGACC